GAUGAACGCUGGCGGCGUGCUUAACACAUGCAAGUCGAACGGAAAGGCUCCUGCUUGCAGGGGUACUCGAGUGGCGAACGGGUGAGUAACACGUGGGUGAUCUGCCCUGCACUUCGGGAUAAGCCUGGGAAACUGGGUCUAAUACCGGAUAGGACGAUGGUUUGGAUGCCAUUGUGGAAAGUUUUUUCGGUGUGGGAUGAGCUCGCGGCCUAUCAGCUUGUUGGUGGGGUAAUGGCCUACCAAGGCGUCGACGGGUAGCCGUCCUGAGAGGGUGUACGGCCACAUUGGGACUGCGGUACGGACCAGACUCCUACGGGAGGCAGCAGUGGGGAGUAUUGCACAAUGGGCGCACGCCUGAUGCAGCGGCGCCGGGUGGGGGAUGACGGCCUUCGGGUUGUAAACUCCUUUCGCUAGGGACGAAGCGCUAGUGACGGUACCUGGAGAAGAAGCACCGGCUAACUACGUG
This 466-nucleotide ribosomal RNA is filed under the name uncultured bacterium. RNAcentral describes it as "partial 16S ribosomal RNA". It matches the Rfam family "Bacterial small subunit ribosomal RNA", at positions 28 to 507 of the family's 1533-position model. The record is from RNAcentral.